RNAcentral lists this ribosomal RNA (495 nucleotides) under uncultured bacterium. Its description in RNAcentral is "partial 16S ribosomal RNA". It matches the Rfam family "Bacterial small subunit ribosomal RNA", at positions 28 to 507 of the family's 1533-position model. The record is from RNAcentral.
GACGAACGCUGGCGGCGUGCCUAAUACAUGCAAGUAGAACGCUGAAGGAGGAGCUUGCUUCUCUGGAUGAGUUGCGAACGGGUGAGUAACGCGUAGGUAACCUGCCUGGUAGCGGGGGAUAACUAUUGGAAACGAUAGCUAAUACCGCAUAAUAGUAGAUGUCGCAUGACAUUUGCUUAAAAGGUGCAAUUGCAUCACUACCAGAUGGACCUGCGUUGUAUUAGCUAGUUGGUGAGGUAACGGCUCACCAAGGCAACGAUACAUAGCCGACCUGAGAGGGUGAUCGGCCACACUGGGACUGAGACACGGCCCAGACUCCUACGGGAGGCAGCAGUAGGGAAUCUUCGGCAAAGGACGGAAGUCUGACCGAGCAACGCCGCGUGAGUGAAGAAGGUUUUCGGAUCGUAAAGCUCUGUUGUAAGAGAAGAACAAGUGUGAGAGUGGAAAGUUCACACUGUGACGGUAUCUUACCAGAAAGGGACGGCUAACUACGUG